GCCAGUGUGGUGUAGUGGUUUGAGUGUUGAAUUGUAACUCUGGAGACCAGGGUUCAAUUCCCAGCUCAGCCA
This 72-nucleotide transfer RNA is filed under the name Phrynosoma platyrhinos (Desert horned lizard). RNAcentral's name for it is "tRNA-OTHER". Lineage: Eukaryota; Metazoa; Chordata; Lepidosauria; Squamata; Phrynosomatidae. The record is from RNAcentral.